RNAcentral lists this ribosomal RNA (468 nucleotides) under uncultured bacterium. RNAcentral's name for it is "partial 16S ribosomal RNA". It matches the Rfam family "Bacterial small subunit ribosomal RNA", at positions 28 to 507 of the family's 1533-position model. The record is from RNAcentral.
GACGAACGCUGGCGGCGUGCUUAACACAUGCAGGUCGAACGGAAAGGCCCUGCUUUUGUGGGGUGCUCGAGUGGCGAACGGGUGAGUAACACGUGAGUAACCUGCCCUUGACUUUGGGAUAACUUCAGGAAACUGGGGCUAAUACCGGAUAGGAGCUCCUGCUGCAUGGUGGGGGUUGGAAAGUUUCGGCGGUUGGGGAUGGACUCGCGGCUUAUCAGCUUGAUGGUGGGGUAGUGGCUUACCAAGGCUUUGACGGGUAGCCGGCCUGAGAGGGUGACCGGCCACAUUGGGACUGAGAUACGGCCCAGACUCCUACGGGAGGCAGCAGUGGGGAAUAUUGCACAAUGGGCGGAAGCCUGAUGCGGCAACGCCGCGUGCGGGAUGACGGCCUUCGGGUUGUAAACCGCUUUCGCCUGUGACGAGGCGUGAGUGACGGUAAUGGGUAAAGAAGCACCGGCUAACUACGUG